AUGGCUGUGAGAAUCCUCUCAUUGACAUCAAGUUCUUCAGUCUGUGAAAGGAAUUGGAGUACCUUCGAAAAUAUACAUACGAAGAAAAGAAAUAGGCUAACUACAGAACGUCUAAACUCUCUUGUGUUCAUACAAUUCAACUCGAGAAUGAUGGCCAAGAAACAAAUGAUCAAGGAGAAGAAGAUCACUGAUGUCCUCUUAUCCGCUGAAACUACUGAAGCUCAAGGUUUUCUUUUUGAGGGCGGAGAUGAUUAUGCAGAAGUCAUCUAUAUGGAUAAAGAUGAGGAGGAGAUGAAUAGUACAGGGAUGCCAGGGAGUGGCAUUGGAGAAGCAAUGGGAGGCGAUGAACUGCUCGAGCCACGUAGAAGUGCGAGACCAAAACAACUUUAUGAAGAAGAAGAAUUUGAUUCUGAAGAAGAAUUUGAUUCUGAAGAAGAGGAGUUUGAUGAUGAGGAGGAGAUGCAUUCAGAUGAGGAGAAUGGCUAUUGA
Molecule: ribosomal RNA, 489 nt
Filed under: Triticum aestivum (bread wheat)
Lineage: Eukaryota; Viridiplantae; Streptophyta; Magnoliopsida; Poales; Poaceae
Description: partial small subunit ribosomal RNA
Source: RNAcentral